CUCUCUUUACUUGGAUAACUGUAGUAAAUCUAGAGCUAAUACAUGCGAAAAAAUCUAUUUCAUUUUUAAUGAAAGAGAUUGUAUUUAUUAGACUAAAAACCAUGAUCUUUCUUUCUCACUCUCAACACACACAUUCUCACUUCAUUGAUUCAUUCUCAUUUUUCCCAACACCUUCAUAUGAUUUAUCUCGUAUGAUCAUGAGAAUGUGAUAUGGGGUGGUGAGUACUUUUUCUUCUUAUCUCUCUGUUUUUCAACAGAUAGAUAGAUAUUAUUCAUGGUGAUUCAUAAUAACUUCACGAAUCGCAUUGGCCUUUGUGCUGGCGAUGGUACAUUCAAAUUUCUGCCCUAUCAACUAUGAUGGUAGGAUAGAGGCCUACCAUGGUUUUAACGGGUGACGGAGUAUUAGGGUACUGUACCGGAGAGGGAGCCUGAGAGAUGGCUACCACUUCUAAGGAAGGCAGCAGGCGCGCAAAUUACCCAAUCCUGACUCAGGGAGGUAGUGACAAGAAAUAACAAUACUCGACCCGAAAUGGGCCGUGUAAUUGGAAUGAGUACAAUUUAAACCCCUUAACGAGUAACAAUUGGAGGGCAAGUCUGGUGCCAGCAGCCGCGGUAAUUCCAGCUCCAAUAGUGUAUAUUAAAUUUGUUGCGGUUAAAACGCUCGUAGUUGGAUCUAAGAAUUGAUUUACUUGGGAGAUUGUGACUGUCUCAGCGAUGUUUCGGUUGUGAUUUCCUGUAUCAAUUCUUUUAAUUUCUUUUUUGAUGGUUAUUAACUUGAAUAUUCAUUUAUUCAAGAAAUAAAAUUAAUUUCCAUCUCAUUUACUUUGAAUAAAUUAGAGUGUUUAAAGCAGACGAUUUUUUGUCAUUGAAUACAUCAGCAUGGGAUAAUAGAAUAGGACUUUGGUUCUAUUUUUUUUGAUUUUGGAUUCCAAAAUCAAUGAUUUGGUUUUUAGAACUAAAGUAAUGAUUAAUAGGGAUAGUUGGGGGCAUUAGUAUUUAAUUGUCAGAGGUGAAAUUCUUGGAUUUAUGAAAGACUAACUUCUGCGAAAGCAUUUGCCAAGGAUGUUUUCAUUAAUCAAGAACGAAAGUUAGGGGAUCGAAGACGAUCAGAUACCGUCGUAGUCUUAACCAUAAACUAUGCCGACCAAGGAUUGGGAGACGUUAAAAUAAGAUUAAAUGAAUUAAAACCCCAUUUAAUCUAUGACCCCCCCAGCACUUACGAGAAAUCAUAA
This 1232-nucleotide ribosomal RNA is filed under the name uncultured Amoebozoa. Its description in RNAcentral is "SSU rRNA". It matches the Rfam family "Eukaryotic small subunit ribosomal RNA", at positions 129 to 1102 of the family's 1831-position model. The record is from RNAcentral.